UUAAGGGGGAAAAAAACCCAACCAAACAAACUAAAAGAACAAACAACAACCAAAAAAACACCCCCCAAAAAAAUCCCAAAACAGAAAAAAUAUAACCAAAAACAGCCGUCGAAAAGAAACUUCAGCUUUGUGGGGAAAUUCUCAAAAUUCAAUGCAACCUCCGCCCGCCGCCGAAACUGGACGUAUGAGCAGAGGGUUUUCAACUGGAGAGGGAAAACAGGAAAACGAGAGGUGAGAAUCACCCCCGCGCACCCCCAAACAAACCCUUCCCUUGCUCGGGUGGGUGUCCCGUGUCUCCGUGACCCGAGGCUCCAAGAAAAGGGGUCCAACACCUUUUUUGGGGGGGUAAUUCCUCAUCUUUCAGGCACAGCCGGGACCGCUCCCGUCCCUGCCCCGCCCGGGAUCCAAAGGAAUUCCCAGGGUCGAGGUUUACAGGGACUCGCCACCCUCCCCGUGUCCCUGAAAGUGCCGCUCUUGCCACAAAAAAAACUCCUCAGCUCCGCGAUUUUGGUGUUGGUGGAGUUUUCCUACUUUUAUUUUUACUCCUCGGUGGAGGCUGGGGAGGAAAUCGGGGCUGCGGAGCCGAGCACAGAGCGGGGCUUAACUUUAGUCUGAUGUGCUUAGCUGAAGUAUUAACUGUGAGAAAUACCACCGAGCUCCACAGGAAAGAAAAUAUCGUCAGAUAUUUGAACAUUUCCAGUCUGCAGCAUCAGCACCGCUCCCAGCUCCAGGACCAGCGGUGCUGAUCGUCCCCGGAGGAAUCCCCCGGAUUUCUUUUUUUCCCUGUAACUACAGCUCCCAAGUGUGGCUGUACACACACAGCCGCUCACGCACGCAAAUCCUAUAAAUGCUAAUAAAACAGAUUCCUCAGGAUUUGUUUAACUUGCC
Molecule: long non-coding RNA, 888 nt
Filed under: Parus major (Great Tit)
Lineage: Eukaryota; Metazoa; Chordata; Aves; Passeriformes; Paridae
Description: lncRNA (ENSPMJG00000009454.1)
Source: RNAcentral